UCGGGGCGCACGUCACAUCGCUGCGACGGCUGUGACGCUGGGAGACGGGUCGCCCUGCUCAGCGUGCCGUGGGUGCAUCCGUGUUGGCGGGCAUAACUGCCGCGGUUGUUGGCAAGUCUCCUCCGCCUGCUUGCUGUCACGGCUAAUCGGGCUGCUGUGAAGCGUGUGGCCUGUGGGACGCCACCGCUUCCCUGGACUGGCUGCUGUUUCGGCUCUUUUCCUACGGCUGUUUCGGCUCUUGUCUUUUUCUACGGCUGUUUCGGCUCUCUGUGCAGCUCUCUUGUCGACGUGUUGUGUCGGCUCGUUCUCUCUGUGGCUCUUUGCUUCAGCGUAGUAGUUUUAUUGCAUUGUACUUUCGGCACUAAAGCCUUAGGCUUUGUAACGCUGUUAUAUCGCCUUAUAUUGUAUAUGCAUUUUAACUAUUGUUCUGUGGAGUGAGUGUGUGUGCGUGUUUUAUGAUUAUGUGUAUCGGUCUGGUCACCAGGCUUCUGUUAAGUUAGCUUUACUAAUAAUUUGUUUCUUUUGUGCAGGUUCGGCAAGCCUCGGCGGCAGUCCAAUCCCUGGUGGUGGUUUCACAAGUCCUCUUUUUCGUUGGUGUGUCAUGUCACAGGUGUGGAAUUAUUUUUGGACCCCU
Molecule: long non-coding RNA, 634 nt
Organism: Amphiprion ocellaris (clown anemonefish)
Lineage: Eukaryota; Metazoa; Chordata; Actinopteri; Pomacentridae
Source: Ensembl